UACAGAGGGUGCGAGCGUUGUUCGGAAUCAUUGGGCGUAAAGCGCACGUAGGUGGCCUGUUAAGUCGGGUGUGAAAUCCCUGGGCUCAACCCAGGAAGUGCACUCGAAACUGGCAGGCUUGAGUACUGAAGAGGGUCGCGGAAUUCCCGGUGUAGAGGUGAAAUUCGUAGAUAUCGGGAGGAACACCAGUGGCGAAGGCGGCGACCUGGGCAGAUACUGACACUGAGGUGCGAAAGCGUGGGGAGCAAACAGG
RNAcentral lists this ribosomal RNA (253 nucleotides) under uncultured bacterium. RNAcentral describes it as "partial 16S ribosomal RNA". It matches the Rfam family "Bacterial small subunit ribosomal RNA", at positions 524 to 776 of the family's 1533-position model. The record is from RNAcentral.